RNAcentral lists this ribosomal RNA (271 nucleotides) under Striatella unipunctata. RNAcentral describes it as "partial Bacterial large subunit ribosomal RNA". It matches the Rfam family "Bacterial large subunit ribosomal RNA", at positions 1677 to 1956 of the family's 2925-position model. Lineage: Eukaryota; Bacillariophyta; Striatellaphyceae; Striatellales; Striatellaceae. The record is from RNAcentral.
AAUACCAAGGCGCUUGAGAGAACGAUGUUGAAGGAACUCGGCAAAAUACCUCCGUAAGUUCGCGAGAAGGAGGCCCGGUUUCUAGGCAACUGGAAGCUGGGGGCACAAACCAGGGGGUGGCGACUGUUUACUAAAAACACAGGGCUCUGCGAAGUCGCAAGACGACGUAUAGGGUCUGACGCCUGCCCGGUGCCUGAAGGUUAAAAGGAGGGGUGCAAGCUCCGAAUUGAAGCCCAGGUAAACGGCGGCCGUAACAAUAACGGUCCUAAGG